UGUGUGCCUUGGCAGUAGAGUUUGAUCAUGGCUCAGGAUGAACGCUGGCGGCGUGCUUAACACAUGCAAGUCGAACGAAGCACUGGUUUGAAGUUUCGGACGGAAAAGCCUUUGACUUAGUGGCGGACGGGUGAGUAACGCGUGGGCAACCUGCCGUAUGCAGGGGGACAACAGUUGGAAACGACUGCUAAUACCGCAUAAGCGCACGGGGACGCAUGUUCCUGUGUGAAAAGCCUUAACGGCAUACGAUGGGCCCGCGUUGGAUUAGGUAGUUGGUGAGGUAACGGCCCACCAAGCCGACGAUCCAUAGCCGACCUGAGAGGGUGACCGGCCACAUUGGGACUGAGACACGGCCCAAACUCCUACGGGAGGCAGCAGUGGGGAAUAUUGCACAAUGGGGGAAACCCUGAUGCAAGCGACGCCGCGUGAGUGAAGAAGUAUUUCGGUAUGUAAAGCUCUAUCAGCAGGGAAGAAAAUGACGGUACCUGCAUAAGAAGCCCCGGCUAACUACGUGCCAGCCGCGGC
This 525-nucleotide ribosomal RNA is filed under the name uncultured bacterium. RNAcentral describes it as "bacterial SSU rRNA". It matches the Rfam family "Bacterial small subunit ribosomal RNA", at positions 1 to 518 of the family's 1533-position model. The record is from RNAcentral.